RNAcentral lists this transfer RNA (67 nucleotides) under Pleroneura sp. 1 GYN-2021b. Its description in RNAcentral is "tRNA-Ser". The record is from RNAcentral. Lineage: Eukaryota; Metazoa; Arthropoda; Insecta; Hymenoptera; Xyelidae.
GAAAUAUGAAAGACCAAAAAAAAAGCUGCUAACUUUUUUUUAACAGUUUAAUUCUGUUUAUAUUUCU